AAAGUCGUAACAAGGUUUCCGUAGGUGAACCUGCGGAAGGAUCAUUAUUGAAAGCUUCGGCUUCCAUUUGAUGCUUUAACCCUUUUGAUGUCCGUUACCUCAGUUGCUUCCACAGGUCCUUUUUUCCUUUUUCCUUUUUUUGGAAGGGGGAGGGGGGGAGGGAUCUGUGGUUGGCCCACAACAAAAAACCUUUUGUAAUUAGCUACGUUUUGUCUGAAUAAACAUAAAAUGUUUUAAAACUUUCAACAACGGAUCUCUUGGCUCCU
This 266-nucleotide unclassified non-coding RNA is filed under the name Ascomycota sp. RNAcentral describes it as "partial contains small subunit ribosomal RNA, internal transcribed spacer 1, and 5.8S ribosomal RNA". The stretch from base 1 to 47 matches the Rfam family "Eukaryotic small subunit ribosomal RNA", at positions 1785 to 1831 of the family's 1831-position model. The record is from RNAcentral. Lineage: Eukaryota; Fungi; Ascomycota.